This 429-nucleotide ribosomal RNA is filed under the name Verrucomicrobiota bacterium. Its description in RNAcentral is "Verrucomicrobia bacterium partial 16S ribosomal RNA". It matches the Rfam family "Bacterial small subunit ribosomal RNA", at positions 355 to 776 of the family's 1533-position model. Lineage: Bacteria; Pseudomonadati; Verrucomicrobiota. The record is from RNAcentral.
UAGGGAAUCUUCCGCAAUGGACGAAAGUCUGACGGAGCAACGCCGCGUGAGUGAAGAAGGAUUUCGGUUCGUAAAACUCUGUUGUUAGGGAAGAAAAAAUGUAUAGUAACUAUAUAUAAAAGAGACGGUACCUAACCAGAAAGCCACGGCUAACUACGUGCCAGCAGCCGCGGUAAUACGUAGGUGGCAAGCGUUGUCCGGAAUUAUUGGGCGUAAAGCGCGCGCAGGUGGUUUAGAAAGUCUGAUGUGAAAGCCCACGGCUCAACCGUGGAGGGUCAUUGGAAACUAAUAAACUUGAGUGCAGGAGAGAAAAGGGGAAUUCCUAGUGUAGCGGUGAAAUGCGUAGAGAUUAGGAGGAACACCGGUGGCGAAAGCGGCUUUUUGGCCUGCAACUGACACUGAGGCGCGAAAGCGUGGGGAGCAAACAGG